CUAAGCUCAUUCGUCCCCUGAGUCCAGGCCAAGCUCAAGAUUUUUUAUUUAAUUGAAAGCUAGAGAGAGAGAGAGAGAGAGAGAGAGAGAGAGAGAGAUAGUCAGGGAGACGGCCAUGGAGAGUAGAAUCUCUGCAUCCCUCGGCCUCCCGUCCCCCAACCCCAGCUGCCAUAGCCGAGCUCUCAUUGCAUUCGAUGGCAUCGUCAACCACUUCAAUGCCCUGGUGUCCUCCCCAGAUCUCCAUUCCUUAAACCCUAUCACCAAAACCCCGAACAUCAUCGAUGCCGCUAACACUGCUUACUGCUUCUCUUCGACUUCUCUGUCCAUGAAAACCCGGAAAUGGCCCAAACCCGCCUCCAGAGACAGCCUCCAUGUCCGCUCUCUCAUCAAGAAUCUCUCCCUAUUCGAGCGUGCCCUCAUAGGCGCUUCCGCCGGCGGCAUCGCCGGCGCCUUCACCUACGUCUGUCUCCACCCCCUCGACACCAUCAAAACAAAGCUCCAGACUAGAGGUGCCGCAAAAAUUUACAGAAACACGUUUGAUGCCAUAAUCAAAACUUUCCAAACAAAGGGAAUUCUAGGGUUCUACAGCGGCGUAUCGGCCGUAAUUGUUGGCUCCACCGCUUCUUCGGCGGUGUAUUUCGGGACCUGCGAGUUUGGGAAGUCGCUUCUGUCGAAAUUGCCUCAGUACCCACCUCUGCUCAUACCCCCAACCGCCGGAGCAAUGGGCAAUAUCAUGUCGUCGGCGAUUAUGGUGCCCAAGGAGCUCAUUACGCAGAAGAUGCAAGCGGGGGCGAAGGGUAGAUCGUGGGAGGUUCUGUUAAGGAUUCUAGAAAAAGAUGGGUUUUUGGGUCUUUAUGCAGGGUACUCUGCUACAUUGCUCAGGAAUUUGCCUGCUGGCGUUUUGAGUUAUUCGUCGUUCGAGUAUUUGAAAGCUGCCGUUUUAAGUAAGACGAGGAAGGCUAAUCUGGAUCCACUUCAGAGCGUGUGCUGCGGGGCAUUGGCUGGUGCGAUAUCAGCGUCAAUCACGACGCCUUUGGAUGUUGUGAAGACGAGGUUGAUGACCCAGGUUCAUGGGGAGGCAAUGAACAAGGUUGCUGCGGCUAUGUACACUGGGGUUUCGGCUACCGUGAAACAAAUUUUGAAGGAAGAGGGAUGGAUUGGAUUGACCCGUGGAAUGGGUCCUCGAGUUCUUCAUAGUGCUUGUUUUUCGGCAUUGGGUUACUUUGCCUUUGAGACGGCUAGGCUCACAAUCUUGCAUCAUUAUCUGAAACGGAAAGAGUUGGACUUGGAUGAAAUUGCUGUUGCUCCCUCCUGAUCCAGUGGCAUCAAAAUCAUAUGUUCUCGGAAGAGACAGUGUGUUCCUUCCUCUUUGUUCCUUCAAAUGCAGGAAGAAAAGCUACAUAGAGCAACAGUAGCAAAGGGUGAUUUCCUCUGAUAGUCAAAUGUUGGGGCUCAAUAAUUGACUGUCAUUUGAAGAUUACAAAUUGAAUGUUGGCAACGAAUCUUAGCAAGAAAUUGGCUACGAACACUUGAGGAUGAGGGGAAGAUUAACGAGAGUGUGGGUGAAGAAAAUGGAAGAAGAUAUAGUGAAAUUCUAUAAACAGAAGUAUGACCAUAAAUUGAGCUGAAUAAGAAGAAGGAUUAAUGUAACUGAUUCUAGGCCGGUUUGAUGUUGUCAUCGUUGUGGUUGUGGUUGUCUUUUCGGUGUUUGUUGGGUCAGAUGUGUUAAUGGCAAAUGGCAGUGGACUGAUUAGUGACAAAAUGAAAUUUUGAUGCUCUGCGUCUGUUUAUUUGUUUAUGGGGAGCUGAAAAUCACAUGGCCAAAAAAUAAUUGUACUUGUUUUUAACUGUAUAAUUCUUAAUUUUUUUUUAGUGUUGAGGUGUAUCCAUCUUUAAUUUAAAUUUUCUAGAGAA
This is an RNA transcript of Malania oleifera, 1914 nucleotides long. It is a transcript of the gene named protein MITOFERRINLIKE 1, chloroplastic, with no coding region annotated. The record is from RefSeq and is a predicted model, not a curated record. NCBI's taxonomy places the organism in Eukaryota, Viridiplantae, Streptophyta, Magnoliopsida, Santalales, Ximeniaceae. The transcript has 3 exons.